CCUACGGGCGGCAGCAGUGAGGAAUCUUGGUCAAUGGACGCAAGUCUGAACCAGCCAUGCCGCGUGCAGGAAGACGGCUCUAUGAGUUGUACACUGCUUUUGUAGGAGGGUAAACGCAGAUACGCGUAUCUUUCUGACAGUAUCGUACGCAUAAGGAUCGGCUAACUCCGUGCCCGCAGCCGCGGCAAUACGGAGGCUUCAAGCGUUAUCCUGAUUUAUUGGGGUUAAAGGGUGCGUAGGCGGUCGGAUAAGUUAGAGGUGAAAUCCCGAGGGUCAACUUCGGAAUUGCCUCGGAUACUGUUCGACUAGAGAGUAGUAGCGGAAGGCGGAAUGGAAGGUGUAGCGGUGAAAUGCUUAGAGAU
This 362-nucleotide ribosomal RNA is filed under the name uncultured bacterium. Its description in RNAcentral is "partial 16S ribosomal RNA". It matches the Rfam family "Bacterial small subunit ribosomal RNA", at positions 338 to 697 of the family's 1533-position model. The record is from RNAcentral.